UCCCUACGGGAGGCAGCAGUGGGGAAUAUUGGACAAUGGGGGGAACCCUGAUCCAGCGACGCCGCGUGAGUGAAGAAGUAUUUCGGUAUGUAAAGCUCUAUCAGCAGGGAAGAAAGAAAUGACGGUACCUGACUAAGAAGCCCCGGCUAACUACGUGCCAGCAGCCGCGGUAAUACGUAGGGGGCAAGCGUUAUCCGGAUUUACUGGGUGUAAAGGGAGCGUAGACGGUGAUGCAAGUCAGAAGUGAAAGCCCGCGGCUCAACUGCGGGACUGCUUUUGAAACUGUAUGACUGGAGUGCAGGAGG
Molecule: ribosomal RNA, 305 nt
Filed under: uncultured bacterium
Lineage: Bacteria
Description: bacterial SSU rRNA
Rfam family: Bacterial small subunit ribosomal RNA
Source: RNAcentral